This 1435-nucleotide ribosomal RNA is filed under the name Enterococcus faecalis. Its description in RNAcentral is "bacterial SSU rRNA". It matches the Rfam family "Bacterial small subunit ribosomal RNA". Lineage: Bacteria; Bacillati; Bacillota; Bacilli; Lactobacillales; Enterococcaceae. The record is from RNAcentral.
AUCCUGGCUCAGAUUGAACGCUGGCGGCAGGCCUAACACAUGCAAGUCGAACGGUAACAGGAAGAAGCUUGCUUCUUUGCUGACGAGUGGCGGACGGGUGAGUAAUGUCUGGGAAACUGCCUGAUGGAGGGGGAUAACUACUGGAAACGGUAGCUAAUACCGCAUAACGUCGCAAGACCAAAGAGGGGGACCUUCGGGCCUCUUGCCAUCGGAUGUGCCCAGAUGGGAUUAGCUAGUAGGUGGGGUAACGGCUCACCUAGGCGACGAUCCCUAGCUGGUCUGAGAGGAUGACCAGCCACACUGGAACUGAGACACGGUCCAGACUCCUACGGGAGGCAGCAGUGGGGAAUAUUGCACAAUGGGCGCAAGCCUGAUGCAGCCAUGCCGCGUGUAUGAAGAAGGCCUUCGGGUUGUAAAGUACUUUCAGCGGGGAGGAAGGGAGUAAAGUUAAUACCUUUGCUCAUUGACGUUACCCGCAGAAGAAGCACCGGCUAACUCCGUGCCAGCAGCCGCGGUAAUACGGAGGGUGCAAGCGUUAAUCGGAAUUACUGGGCGUAAAGCGCACGCAGGCGGUUUGUUAAGUCAGAUGUGAAAUCCCCGGGCUCAACCUGGGAACUGCAUCUGAUACUGGCAAGCUUGAGUCUCGUAGAGGGGGGUAGAAUUCCAGGUGUAGCGGUGAAAUGCGUAGAGAUCUGGAGGAAUACCGGUGGCGAAGGCGGCCCCCUGGACGAAGACUGACGCUCAGGUGCGAAAGCGUGGGGAGCAAACAGGAUUAGAUACCCUGGUAGUCCACGCCGUAAACGAUGUCGACUUGGAGGUUGUGCCCUUGAGGCGUGGCUUCCGGAGCUAACGCGUUAAGUCGACCGCCUGGGGAGUACGGCCGCAAGGUUAAAACUCAAAUGAAUUGACGGGGGCCCGCACAAGCGGUGGAGCAUGUGGUUUAAUUCGAUGCAACGCGAAGAACCUUACCUGGUCUUGACAUCCACGGAAGUUUUCAGAGAUGAGAAUGUGCCUUCGGGAACCGUGAGACAGGUGCUGCAUGGCUGUCGUCAGCUCGUGUUGUGAAAUGUUGGGUUAAGUCCCGCAACGAGCGCAACCCUUGAUCUUAGUUGCCAGCAUUCAGUUGGGCACUCUAAGGUGACUGCCGGUGACAAACCGGAGGAAGGUGGGGAUGACGUCAAAUCAUCAUGCCCCUUAUGACCUGGGCUACACACGUGCUACAAUGGACAGAACAAAGGGCAGCGAAACCGCGAGGUUAAGCCAAUCCCACAAAUCUGUUCUCAGUUCGGAUCGCAGUCUGCAACUCGACUGCGUGAAGUCGGAAUCGCUAGUAAUCGUGGAUCAGAAUGCCACGGUGAAUACGUUCCCGGGCCUUGUACACACCGCCCGUCACACCACGAGAGUUUGUAACACCCGAAGUCGGUGAGGUAACCUU